RNAcentral lists this ribosomal RNA (492 nucleotides) under uncultured bacterium. RNAcentral's name for it is "partial 16S ribosomal RNA". It matches the Rfam family "Bacterial small subunit ribosomal RNA", at positions 29 to 507 of the family's 1533-position model. The record is from RNAcentral.
AGUGAACGCUGGCGGUAGGCCUAACACAUGCAAGUCGAACGGCAGCACAGUAAGAGCUUGCUCUUACGGGUGGCGAGUGGCGGACGGGUGAGGAAUACAUCGGCAUCUUCUUUUUCGUGGGGGAUAACGUAGGGAAACUUACGCUAAUACCGCAUACGACCUACGGGUGAAAUCAGGAGAUCUUCGGACCUUGCGCGUUUGAUUGAGCUGAUGCCGGAUUAGCUAGUUGGCGGGGUAAAGGCCCACCAAGGCGACGAUCCGUAGCUGGUCUGAGAGGAUGAUCGGCCACACUGGAACUGAGACACGGUCCAGACUCCUACGGGAGGCAGCAGUGGGGAAUAUUGGACAAUGGGCGCAAGCCUGAUGCAGCCAUACCGCGUGAGUGAAGAAGGCCUUCGGGUUGUAAAGCCCUGUUGUUGGGAAAGAAAAGCAGCAGGAGAAAACCCGGCUGUUCUGACGGUACCCAAAGAAUAAGCACCGGCUAACUUCGUG